UCCCUGGUGGCACAAAUAUUUAAGCAUUCAACUACUAGUUGAAAGGCUGAUGGUUCAAAUCCAUCCAGAGGUG
RNAcentral lists this transfer RNA (73 nucleotides) under Loxodonta africana (African savanna elephant). It matches the Rfam family "tRNA". From Rfam's summary of the family: Transfer RNA (tRNA) molecules are approximately 80 nucleotides in length. Their secondary structure includes four short double-helical elements and three loops (D, anti-codon, and T loops). Further hydrogen bonds mediate the characteristic L-shaped molecular structure. tRNAs have two regions of fundamental functional importance: the anti-codon, which is responsible for specific mRNA codon recognition, and the 3' end, to which the tRNAs corresponding amino acid is attached (by aminoacyl-tRNA synthetases). tRNAs cope with the degeneracy of the genetic code in two manners: having more than one tRNA (with a specific anti-codon) for a particular amino acid; and 'wobble' base-pairing, i.e. permitting non-standard base-pairing at the 3rd anti-codon position. The record is from Rfam by way of RNAcentral. Lineage: Eukaryota; Metazoa; Chordata; Mammalia; Proboscidea; Elephantidae.